This 690-nucleotide ribosomal RNA is filed under the name Paracidovorax oryzae. Its description in RNAcentral is "bacterial SSU rRNA". It matches the Rfam family "Bacterial small subunit ribosomal RNA", at positions 86 to 772 of the family's 1533-position model. Lineage: Bacteria; Pseudomonadati; Pseudomonadota; Betaproteobacteria; Burkholderiales; Comamonadaceae. The record is from RNAcentral.
UGCUGACGAGUGGCGAACGGGUGAGUAAUACAUCGGAACGUGCCCGAUCGUGGGGGAUAACGAGGCGAAAGCUUUGCUAAUACCGCAUAAGAUCUAUGGAUGAAAGCAGGGGACCGCAAGGCCUUGCGCGAACGGAGCGGCCGAUGGCAGAUUAGGUAGUUGGUGGGGUAAAGGCUUACCAAGCCUACGAUCUGUAGCUGGUCUGAGAGGACGACCAGCCACACUGGGACUGAGACACGGCCCAGACUCCUACGGGAGGCAGCAGUGGGGAAUUUUGGACAAUGGGCGCAAGCCUGAUCCAGCCAUGCCGCGUGCAGGAUGAAGGCCUUCGGGUUGUAAACUGCUUUUGUACGGAACGAAAAGCCUUCUUCUAAUAAAGGGAGGUCAUGACGGUACCGUAAGAAUAAGCACCGGCUAACUACGUGCCAGCAGCCGCGGUAAUACGUAGGGUGCAAGCGUUAAUCGGAAUUACUGGGCGUAAAGCGUGCGCAGGCGGUGAUGUAAGACAGAUGUGAAAUCCCCGGGCUCAACCUGGGAACUGCAUUUGUGACUGCAUCGCUGGAGUACGGCAGAGGGGGAUGGAAUUCCGCGUGUAGCAGUGAAAUGCGUAGAUAUGCGGAGGAACACCGAUGGCGAAGGCAAUCCCCUGGGCCUGUACUGACGCUCAUGCACGAAAGCGUGGGGAGCAAA